RNAcentral lists this ribosomal RNA (427 nucleotides) under Acanthamoeba sp. T2/T6. Its description in RNAcentral is "SSU rRNA". It matches the Rfam family "Eukaryotic small subunit ribosomal RNA", at positions 740 to 1113 of the family's 1831-position model. The record is from RNAcentral. RNAcentral also lists the same sequence under 1 other name. Lineage: Eukaryota; Discosea; Longamoebia; Acanthamoebidae.
GGCCCAGAUCGUUUACCGUGAAAAAAUUAGAGUGUUCAAAGCAGGCAGAUUCAAUUUUCUGCCACCGAAUACAUUAGCAUGGGAUAAUGGAAUAGGACCCUGUCCUCCUUUUUUCAGUUGGUUAAUUCAUGAGAGAGGAACAGGGUAAUGAUUAAUAGGGAUAGUUGGGGGCAUUAAUAUUUAAUUGUCAGAGGUGAAAUUCUUGGAUUUAUGAAAGAUUAACUUCUGCGAAAGCAUCUGCCAAGGAUGUUUUCAUUAAUCAAGAACGAAAGUUAGGGGAUCGAAGACGAUCAGAUACCGUCGUAGUCUUAACCAUAAACGAUGCCGACCAGCGAUUAGGAGACGUUGAAUACAAAACACCUCUAUAUAUAAUUCAGUAUAUGGUCAGUCAAAUGGCUGUGUAUUGUUUGUAUAUAGUUUAAUGCCA